CCCUUAGAUGUCCUGGGCGGCCCGCGCGCUACAAUGUCAGCUACUGAAGGUUAAUGCUUUGAAAGAGAGCGCGCUCUCCUUUUAAUUGCUCGCAUGCUGGGAUAAAUGAAUGCAAUUUUGUUUUGAACGGGGAAUUCCUAGUAGCCAUGUUUCACUAGAAGAUGGCGAAUGCGUCCCUGCCCUUUGUACACACCGCCCGUCGCUCCUACCGAUGAGCGUUUUGGCGAAGACGGUUUGAGUAGCUGCGUAAUUUCGUGUUGUUGACUCCGGCAGUUUGAGCCUUCACGUUUAGAGGAAGGAGAAGUCGUAACA
RNAcentral lists this ribosomal RNA (312 nucleotides) under uncultured eukaryote. Its description in RNAcentral is "partial 18S ribosomal RNA". It matches the Rfam family "Eukaryotic small subunit ribosomal RNA", at positions 1470 to 1796 of the family's 1831-position model. The record is from RNAcentral.